CAAUAGCGUAUAUUAAAGUUGUUGCAGUUAAAAAGCUCGUAGUUGGAUUUGUGGCGUACGGUGUGUUCCGGGCACUUGUUGUCUGAGUAACCUGCUGUUGCCAUCCUUGGGUGGAACCUGUGUGGCAUUAGGUUUUCGUGCAGGGGAUGCCCAUCAUUUACUGUGAAAAAAUUAGAGUGUUCAAAGCAGGCUUAUGCCGUUGAAUAUAUUAGCAUGGAAUAAUGAGAUAGGACUUUUUUGCUAUUUUGUUGGUUUGCGCAAAGAGGUAAUGAUUAAUAGGGACAGUUGGGGGUAUUCGUAUUCCAUUGUCAGAGGUGAAAUUCUUGGAUUUUUGGAAGACGAACUACUGCGAAAGCAUUUACCAAGGAUGUUUUCAUUAA
Molecule: ribosomal RNA, 380 nt
Filed under: uncultured eukaryote
Lineage: Eukaryota
Description: partial 18S ribosomal RNA
Rfam family: Eukaryotic small subunit ribosomal RNA
Source: RNAcentral